RNAcentral lists this ribosomal RNA (253 nucleotides) under uncultured bacterium. Its description in RNAcentral is "partial 16S ribosomal RNA". It matches the Rfam family "Bacterial small subunit ribosomal RNA", at positions 524 to 776 of the family's 1533-position model. The record is from RNAcentral.
UACGUAGGGGGCAAGCGUUGUCCGGAUUUAUUGGGCGUAAAGCGCUCGCAGGCGGUUCGUUGCGUCGUGCGUGAAAGACCCCGGCUCAACUGGGGGAUGUCGUGCGAUACGGGCGGACUGGAGGCCAGUAGGGGGAUGCGGAAUUCCGGGUGUAGUGGUGGAAUGCGUAGAGAUCCGGAGGAACACCAGCGGCGAAGGCGGCAUCCUGGACUGGUCCUGACACUCAGGAGCGAAAGCGUGGGGAGCGAACCGG